UUGAUGUGUUUUGAUAUGUGUAUAAUCAGUGGAUGUAUUUUAUGUUUGCAGCUGUACACGUUGGUGUUUUGGAAAAUGAUGAGCUGUUUUGGGCGGGGGCUGAGGCGGACGGCCCCUGCACGCGGCAGCAGCAGGAAUGAGCUGGUGACCCCCUCCACGGCAUCUCUCUCCAGGGUUAACGGCUGGGCCUGUCCCCCUCACUCCUUCCAGCUGGUGGGAUGGACAAUAUACAGCUACAUGGCUGUAGUUGGCUUUGGGAUCUAUAUCCCACUACUACCUUCACCCUGGAGCCACAUGGCCUACUCUCUGACUGGCAUAGCCUUCAUUGUGCACCUGGUCAGCCAUCUAGCUGCCGUGUCUAUAGACCCAGCAGAGGCAGGCGUCCGUGCCAAGAAGAGCUACUCCAACCCACUACCUGUCUUCGACAAGAAGAAACAACCACAUGUUAUCCACAACCUACACUGCUACCUGUGUAAAAUCAAUGUGGACCCAAAAGUGAAACACUGUGGUGUGUGCAACAAGUGUAUUGAAGACUUUGACCACCACUGUAAAUGGCUGAACAACUGUGUGGGGGGGCAGAACUACUGGUACUUCUUUGUGACGGUGUUGUCUGCUACACUGGGCGUCCUUGUGCUUCUCAUGGUCGUCCUGUUCAUCUUCAUCCAGCAUUAUAUGGACCCUGCCAGUCUCCGCACCGCACCACAGUUUACCAGUGUGAUGAGUAACAGGACGUGGCUGGUCUUCCUGCCCCUGGCACCCAUGGAGACAGGGUCAGGGAGUCUCCUGGUUGUCGCCUUCCUCACGGUCAUGUUGGCUACUGGCUCUCUACUGCUGCUGGUUCACCUACUGGGCUUCCACAUCUAUCUCUUGUUAAACAAAAUGAGCACGUAUGACUACAUUAUAACAAGACGUCGUAAACAGGCCAGCCAGCAGGACGUAGAGAUGGGCUUUCCCCAGUCAUCUGACAGCAACGCAGGACAGAAUCAUCCGCAAAUGGAGCCCUCCAUGGAUUGUGAUGCGUUGUUGUCAGACAGUGUCAGCUGCAAGAAUCAGGAAACAGGAACUAUUUCAAGUCAACCUUCUGGAUCUUUCUGUACUGAGUUGGACAACUUUACUAAAUCAUCAGAAAAGGAAAAUGGCUUUUACUAUGGCACAGAGCUACCCACCCAGAUUAUACCAGGUGAGUUUACCCACCCAGAUUAUACCAGGUGAGUAAACCCACCCAGAUUAUACCAGGUGAGUUUACCCACCCAGAUUAUACCAGGUGAGUUUACCCACCCAGAUUAUACCAGGUGAGUUUACCCACCCAGAUUAUACCAGGUGAGUUUACCCACCCAGAUUAUACCAGGUGAGUUUACCCACCCAGAUUAUACCAGGUGAGUAAACCCACCCAGAUUAUACCAGGUGAGUUUACCCACCCAGAUUAUACCAGGUGAGUUUACCCACCCAGAUUAUACCAGGUGAGUUUACCCACCCAGAUUAUACCAGGUGAGUUUACCCACCCAGAUUAUACCAGGUGAGUAAACCCACCCAGAUUAUACCAGGUGAGUUUACCCACCCAGAUUAUACCAGGUGAGUUUACCCACCCAGAUUAUACCAGGUGAGUAAACCCACCCAGAUUAUACCAGGUGAGUUUACCCACCCAGAUUAUACCAGGGGAGUGUACCCACACAGAUUAUACCAGGUGAGUAAACCCACCCAGAUUAUACCAGGGGAGUGUACCCACCCAGAUUAUACCAGGUGAGUUUACCCACCCAGAUUAUACCCGGGGAGUGUACCCACACAGAUUAUACCAGGUGAGUAAACUCACCCAGAUUAUACCAGGUGAGUAAACCCACCCAGAUUAUACCAGGUGAGUAAACCCACCCAGAUUAUACCAGGGGAGUUUACCCACCCAGAUUAUACCAGGUGAGUAAACCCAACCAGAUUAUACCAGGGGAGUUUACCCACCCAGAUUAUACCAGGUGAGUAAACCCACCCAGAUUAUACCAGGUGAGUUUACCCACCCAGAUUAUACCCGGGGAGUGUACCCACCCAGAUUAUACCAGGUGAGUAAACCCACCCAGAUUAUACCAGGUGAGUGAACCCACCCAGAUUAUACCAGGUGAGUUUACCCACCCAGAUUAUACCAGGUGAGUUUACCCACCCAGAUUAUACCAGGUGAGUUUACCCACCCAGAUUAUACCAGGUGAGUUUACCCACCCAGAUUAUACCAGGUGAGUUUACCCACCCAGAUUAUACCAGGUGAGUUUACCCACCCAGAUUAUACCAGGUGAGUAAACCCACCCAGAUUAUACCAGGUGAGUAAACCCACCCAGAUUAUACCAGGUGAGUGAACCCACCCAGAUUAUACCAGGUGAGUAAACCCACCCAGAUUAUACCAGGUGAGUAAACCCACCCAGAUUAUACCAGGUGAGUGAACCCACACAGAUUAUACCAGGUGAGUAAACCCACACAGAUUAUACCAGG
Molecule: RNA transcript, 2469 nt
Organism: Oncorhynchus tshawytscha (Chinook salmon)
Lineage: Eukaryota; Metazoa; Chordata; Actinopteri; Salmoniformes; Salmonidae
Gene: zdhhc11
Gene name: zinc finger DHHC-type containing 11
Exons: 12
Source: RefSeq, a predicted model, not a curated record